GUGUUACUGCGAAGGGGGGACGGAGAAGGCUAGGUUAUCCGGGCGACGGUUGUCCCGGUUUAAGCGAGUAGGCUGAUAGUCUUGGUAAAUCCGGACUGUCUUAAGGCUGAGACGUGAUGACGAGGUUCUACGGAACUGAAGUAAUUGAUGCCCUGCUUCCAGGAAAAGCCUCUAAGCUCUAGGUAACAUUGAAUCGUACCCCAAACCGACACAGGUGAUCAGGUAGAGAAUACCAAGGCGCUUGAGAGAACUCGGGUGAAGGAACUAGGCAAAAUGGUGCCGUAACUUCGGGAGAAGGCACGCUGGCGCGUAGGUGGAGGGACUUGCUCCCCGAGCUGAAGCCAGUCGAAGAUACCAGCUGGCUGCAACUGUUUAUUAAAAACACAGCACUGUGCAAACACGAAAGUGG
Molecule: ribosomal RNA, 409 nt
Filed under: Rosenbergiella gaditana
Lineage: Bacteria; Pseudomonadati; Pseudomonadota; Gammaproteobacteria; Enterobacterales; Erwiniaceae
Description: Rosenbergiella sp. S61 partial 23S ribosomal RNA
Rfam family: Bacterial large subunit ribosomal RNA
Source: RNAcentral